GGGGACACCAAGCUGCCCUCGUUACAGCAAACUUGAAGACAGAGAAACAGCCAACCAGGAUAGUGUCUGCGCGCGGGGCUCGGUUGGUGCCCUUGAGCGUCGUGUUCCUAAAACAAAAUGAAGCGGUCGUAAAAGUGGCCGUGUGGAGGGAGGCGACCUUGACCCCGAUCAAGGUUGGGGCCUUCUACAGUUUCACGCACCUUCGUGC
Long non-coding RNA from Syngnathus acus (greater pipefish), 208 nucleotides. RefSeq lists it as uncharacterized. The transcript is spliced from 3 exons. Lineage: Eukaryota; Metazoa; Chordata; Actinopteri; Syngnathiformes; Syngnathidae. The record is from RefSeq and is a predicted model, not a curated record.